CGGGCCGGGGCGCGCCUUCCCUCCGCUCCCCUGCGCUCCCCGGGGGUGCCUGGCCCGUCCGGGACCGUCGGAGGCCGCCUGGCUUCGGGAGCAGCCGCUGGGGCCGGGGCCGAGCCUCGGUGUGCGCGGUUCCGGCCCCGCGGAGACCCCGCUGGGGUGCAGGGGCCUGACAAUGGCACCGUCCCAGCGUGCCGGGGGAGAGCGGCUGCCAGGCGGGAGCAGCACAGCGCAGCCCCGUGAGCUCUGCUGCCGCGGCAGAAAACAACUAAAAUCACUGCAGGUGCCCUUUCCUAGGGACGUCCUUGCUCAUCUGUUUAAUAGUCUGCAAGAGCAAUAACUUCACACAGAAUCACAGAGCAGAGAUGGAAGGGACCCAGAGGGAUCAUUAAGUCUAGCUCGUAAGUGAGUGGCCAUACAGGGAUCAAACAGCCACCUCGGUGUUAUCAGCACCCUGCUCUAACCAACUUGCAAGUAUAUAUAUUCUUUAAUGAAAAAUCACGUUUAUAUCGCAUGGUAGGAUUUAUAUUUUUUCCCUCUUUUACCUAUAAAGGUCUUUUCAAGAAAUGCAGGUGCAACUAUAGAAAGAAACUAACGAAGCACCACUCAAAGUUUUUUUUAAUGCAGUAUUUUAAUAUAUUCCUAAAUAUUCAAGAUUAAAUUAAAUUCAGACAGUCCCCCUAAUGCUCUUCGGAAACAGACCAAGGCAAAACAAUGGGCUUUUGAGAUAAUCUGUCAACCUCAAAACUAACAUUUUUAACAGCAAGAUUGUUGCAAAUUCAUUUGCAUUUUUCUUCAUAUGCAUAUUCUAAUUAACUAUUGAUCACAAUUAUGUUACUAUUCCAUCAUCAGAUUAAAAACUCACCCAUUUUUCUUUUUCUGUUCUUUUAAAGAAGCAACAGCAGGAAGUUGUUAAUUAACUUGAACAGACUCAACUCAAAUUCUUAAUUACAACUGGUUAGCAAUUUUACUUAAAAGUUUCUUCUGGUAGGGGGGAAAAACCACAACUUUUGUUGAAAGUUUCAUUGGGAAAGACUUCUCAGCUUCCAGAUGGAAUUUCUAGUAAGAACAAGUGCGAUAAUGACUCUGAAAUAGUCUCACUUGAGAUGUGGGAGUUUCAGGUUUGUGCUCCUGCUUUGCCUGUUCCAGGCCUUCCCACGUCUUGCAGAAAUAGACUAAGGAUUGGAAUAGAAAGCUGGUAUCUGGUUUUCUAGACAAAUUAAAAUUUAACUAUUUGUCAACCCAAAUGCUCCAAAAAAGAGAUUGAUGGAAAACUUUUCUUGUUCCUUUUCUUCUGCAAAAUGUCCUCUGUUUCACAGUAACUAUUUCCCAAGUGCCUAUGUAUGUAAUACUGUUAACACCAAAUAACCGUAUUUCAUUUUCAUUUUAUGUUGUAGCAACUGUGUUCAGAAGCCUUUAAUGCAACACUGUCACACAUUUUGGAUUUUAUUGUUGCAACUGAUUUAAGCAGUUACAUAUAUUGUAACCGUGCCCCAGCCUAGAAAUCUGACAGAAAUGAGUUAAGGUAACUUGUAUAGCAAAUAGGAUGUUUUAAACCAUCAGCUUUGGAAGUACCACAUGACUUCAGGGAUGACAACAUGAAAAGGAAAUACUUCACAUUAAUAGGUAAUCUCUUAAAGACUCUCCGUCCUCAUUAAGUAAAUGAGACUAUAGAAAGAGUAGAGCCUUGGCUGCCACAAUAAAGAAAUGGAGUGUAGCAGGCUGGUACAAAAGGUUCUGUUCAACAGAGGCUCAUCUUACCAAUGUAUGAACUGGUUCUUGACUCGACAACACUUCAGAUCUGGUCUUAAUUAUUCAGUUAAAGGUGAGCUGGCAAACCUCAGUGCACUGGUUUAGUGUGUUAGUCCUCCCAGCUACUACCCUUCCUCAGUGCUGAAAGUUUCUGUUCCUGUAGAAGCAGCAAAGCUCCAGUGCAAAGCCCUAACAUUUUAAGACAGUUUUAAAAGCAGUUGUUUUGGUGGCUCCUGGAACCUGGCUGCUCAUGUCUGUGUGUCCUACCUUGUGCUGGUGCAAGUGGCAAAACUCUUGAAACACAGAGUGAGUUAAAUCGCCCAAAGAGAAACAUUAAAAAUGGAUUAACUGGAACACAGCUGGGAGGACUUUUCUAGGCAGCAAGGCUGGCUUAACUGGUUCCCAGCCUUGGCUGCUCAUUCUGACUCCCACACUGUUCCGUGCCCCCUCAGUUUGACAACUGUCAUAUUGAUGUCUAAGCAAGUUGAGAUCACGGAAGCAGUCUCAGUUACAUGAACAAAUAUAUCCAAACCCCUUCCAAUAUGCAUUGUUUCAUUCUGGCCCAUUUCAGGGACUCAGUUCAUUGUCUGGUCCCUGAACAAUUGUGCUGAUAAUGCUGCCAGGGGAAUUAUGAGGUGCGUGAAAGGGCAGGAGAUGGCACCAUUUUAGCCACUUGAGGAAGAAUAACUUGAGAUUACAUGCUCAGGAAAACAGUCACAUUGUAAAGUGACAAGGGAGCUCAAAGCGUCAUACUGUCUAUUUUUGGGCAUCAUUAAGAGAACAACAAUAAGCAACCUCCACCCAAGGCCAGUUCCAAGAAGGGGCUCACUCCACGUUCUGCAGCACCGCCCUGAUGCCUGCCAGAAUCUGCUAUCAGCCCUUACCAGAAAAGGAGUGCCCGUCUCCAAAAUCCUGCACUUCUAUACAACUCUCCAGUCUUCACUUGGUAACUUCCUUCAACCAAGUCAAAAAAACAAGAUAUGUACUUUCUCUCUGACAGGCCUCAUUUCCCAGAAAUAUUUAUGGCUUCGGGAACUGACUGAAUACAGUAAUAGAAUUUGGCCAUAGGUACAAACAGCUGCUGAGCACAUGUCGGCUGCAAAUCAGGAGAAAAUUUCUAGUACUCAGACCAAUGAGGAGCGGGAAUAACCUCUCAGAAAAAUUAAUAAAGGCAAAAAUCUAAUUACUCUUAAGUUAGAGCACAGUUAUGAAAGGAAUUAUACAUCAGCAGGGUCCCUGCGGUUUGUUUCUCCUUACAUCCUUUAAGGAAUGUUCAGAAAGGCAUAUGAGACUUCCUAUAAGCCUGCCUUAAUGGAGCUAUUGAAACGGUGUAAAGAGCUGUGCAGUGACAGAGAAAGAGAAAAGCAACACAAUGCAAACUUCUGCCUUUCAAAUAUCUGAAGCCAGAGCACGGAACUAUGCAGUUCAGGCUUCCAGCGUACAUGGAGACAGCCUCUUGUCUGUCACAGACCACCAUACCUGCAUUGUAUGGCUUUGGC
This is a long non-coding RNA of Corvus hawaiiensis (hawaiian crow), 3248 nucleotides long. RefSeq lists it as uncharacterized. The record is from RefSeq and is a predicted model, not a curated record. Lineage: Eukaryota; Metazoa; Chordata; Aves; Passeriformes; Corvidae. The transcript has 2 exons.